RNAcentral lists this ribosomal RNA (362 nucleotides) under uncultured Pseudomonas sp. Its description in RNAcentral is "bacterial SSU rRNA". It matches the Rfam family "Bacterial small subunit ribosomal RNA", at positions 1021 to 1382 of the family's 1533-position model. Lineage: Bacteria; Pseudomonadati; Pseudomonadota; Gammaproteobacteria; Pseudomonadales; Pseudomonadaceae. The record is from RNAcentral.
UUCGGACAAUAUACAAGGUGCUGCAUGGUUGUCGUCAGCUCGUGCCGUGAGGUGUCGGUUAAGUCCCGUAACGAGCGCAACCCUUGUCCUUAGUUACCAGCACGUUAUGGUGGGCACUCUAAGGAGACUGCCGGUGGACAAACCGGAGGAAGGUGGGGAUGACGUCAAGUCAUCAUGGCCCUUACGGCCUGGGCUACACACGUGCUACAAUGGUCGGUACAAAGGGUUGCCAAGCCGCGAGGUGGAGCUAAUCCCAUAAAACCGAUCGUAGUCCGGAUCGCAGUCUGCAACUCGACUGCGUGAAGUCGGAAUCGCUAGUAAUCGUGAAUCAGAAUGUCACGGUGAAUACGUUCCCGGGCCUU